RNAcentral lists this ribosomal RNA (254 nucleotides) under uncultured bacterium. Its description in RNAcentral is "partial 16S ribosomal RNA". It matches the Rfam family "Bacterial small subunit ribosomal RNA", at positions 524 to 776 of the family's 1533-position model. The record is from RNAcentral.
UACGUAGGGUGCGAGCGUUUAAUCGGAAUUACUGGGCGUAAAGCGUGCGCAGGCGGUUUUGUAAGCCAGGUGUGAAAUCCCCGGGCUCAACCUGGGAAUGGCAUUUGGGACUGCAAGGCUGGAGUGCGGCAGAGGAGACUGGAAUUCCUGGUGUAGCAGUGAAAUGCGUAGAUAUCAGGAGGAAUACCGAUGGCGAAGGCAGGUCUCUGGGCUGACACUGACGCUCAUGCACGAAAGCGUGGGGAGCAAACAGG